Molecule: long non-coding RNA, 329 nt
Organism: Pipra filicauda (Wire-tailed manakin)
Lineage: Eukaryota; Metazoa; Chordata; Aves; Passeriformes; Pipridae
Exons: 3
Source: RefSeq, a predicted model, not a curated record
AGCCCAGAGCUGUCCCUGAGGUGAGGCUGAGAAUAAGUGCAAGGCAGAGGUGCUGCUGAGGAAGGAGAGCCCCGUGGUUGGGAAGAGACAGAAACUGUGAGUGCCCAUCCCCAAGAAGGACAACAAAGAACUUGGAGAGAGGGAAUGUCUGGGAACUCGGCAUCCCGAAGGCGAGAGUCAGAGGAGAAGCGACCCUUGGGAACCCCAACGCUCCCAGCAUCCCUGAGUGGGACCCCCAGCAUCUCAGGGAAGCUAUUCCCAACCCCAGAGGGGACAGACCAGAGACGGGAUUUGUCCUUCCCAAAGCUUGGGCGGAUGGAGGAGGAGGC